GUGUCCUUCCCGCGCUCCCUGGCCCAGGCAGCUGCUCUGCCAGUGACACCUCCACCGUGUUCCUGCCAGGCUCCGCAAUGCCCCUGCCCACACAUGUACAGGCACCAAGCUGCCCUCUGCAUCUGCUCAGCUCAGGAUUGUGCACACAUGCAUGACUUUGGUCCUCCUGGCCAAAAGAUGGCUGCUGCAGCUCCAGGGUCUGCUCCUAUAUUUCAGCUAGGAAGGAAGAAGAGUGAAGGCUCAAUUGUAGAGGAAGGCAAGGAAGAAGGUGAUGAAACGGUGUGUGAGCCAGCCUCAGAGUAUGUCUGCCGCAGGAUAUGUGUGAAUGGAGCUGUAGGAGACAUUCCUAGAACUGGAUUCUUCUCACUGCAGCUGUUUGACCUGGCACUCAAGGCCUAAGAUCUGGAGUCUUGUCUCGUUCUUUCCUACGUGUCCCUCUGGCUCAGCACACCCAGUUUCCCAACUUCCCAGCACUGGGAUAUCACGUGCCCUGUUGCCUCCCGCCUCGGACCCCCCUCUCCUGGAAGGCGGGUGCCAUUUCUAUCCAGAUCCAUCCUCCUCUGAGGUUCAGUUUAUCUCCAUCUUCCCUGAAGCAUGGGCAGAAUGUCUCCUUUUUCCCCAAACGGAGAGUCUGUAUGUUUUUCUCUCAGUCUCCCUCCCAUGCCCAUCUUUCCUAGUAUUAUUCCCAGGGAUUUUUACCCCCAGGAAUUAAGGGGAACAAAGACCAACAGAGAAGAGACGGUCAGGCCCCAGGCUAGACUCAGAGACAAUGCCUGCCGCUUGGAGACAGCUGGGAUAUAUUCUCAAUCAAGGCCUCAUGGAUUUGUGCCUGAAUUCUGGAGGAUGGAGACCCCAAGGAGAAAGCAGGGAAGCAAUUUCACUGAGUCUCUGAAGUGUGUUGGGAGAUGAGGUGGCCCCUGGGGGUGGAGAGUGACCUGCUCCAUGUGGAUUCACAGUUGGGGGCCCUGGAAGUGGAGUGAAGUGGGAAGGGAAAUCCCUGUGAGAGCCUCAGCACCAGUAGUUCCCAGCACCCGUGGAGUGACACGAAGGAGCCUAUGAGCAGCAGUGACCUUGGCUCAGACAUCGGAGCCAUUGGUGGCAGCUGGAGCUGGUGCAAGAGAGACUCAGAUUACAUAUGCAGAUGUCGUCUUCAGGUCUGGAUGGUGAGCCCUUUGAAGUCAGACUCUCGCUGUCCUGCCAGCCUCCUCCUCCUGGAGAAUUUUUCUUCCCUCCUGUCUUCAGCCAUGGUGUGUUCCUACCGCAGAUGUUUAGUGAGCGCACAGUCGUUGAGAGGGAAGGGGUCAGACUAGGAUCAAAUCCUGGCUCUACCAUUUACCAGGUAUAGUGGUCAGUGCUAAGUGGACAUAAUCAGCACAAGCCCUGCCUUCGUGGAACUUACAGUCUGGAGCUACAACCGUGACCUUGGUUCACCAGCUCAGCUGAUUGUGAUAACACAAGAUUCCUG
This 1465-nucleotide long non-coding RNA is filed under the name Equus asinus (donkey). Its description in RNAcentral is "lncRNA (ENSEASG00005032190.1)". Lineage: Eukaryota; Metazoa; Chordata; Mammalia; Perissodactyla; Equidae. The record is from RNAcentral.